RNAcentral lists this ribosomal RNA (163 nucleotides) under uncultured bacterium. Its description in RNAcentral is "partial 16S ribosomal RNA". It matches the Rfam family "Bacterial small subunit ribosomal RNA", at positions 355 to 511 of the family's 1533-position model. The record is from RNAcentral.
UAGGGAAUCUUCCACAAUGGACGAAAGUCUGAUGGAGCAACGCCGCGUGAGUGAAGAAGGGUUUCGGCUCGUAAAACUCUGUUGUUAAAGAAGAACAUAUCUGGGAUAACUGUUCAGGUAUUGACGGUAUUUAACCAGAAAGCCACGGCUAACUACGUGCCCG